UACGUAGGGGGCAAGCGUUGUCCGGAUUUAUUGGGCGUAAAGAGCGUGUAGGCGGUUUGGUAGGUCCGCUGUGAAAACUCGAGGCUCAACCUCGAGACGCCGGUGGAAACCAUCAGACUAGAGUCCGGAAGAGGAGAGUGGAAUUCCUGGUGUAGCGGUGAAAUGCGCAGAUAUCAGGAGGAACACCGGUGGCGAAGGCGGGUCUCUGGGCCGAAACUGACGCUGAGGAGCGAAAGCGUGGGGAGCGAACAGG
This 253-nucleotide ribosomal RNA is filed under the name uncultured bacterium. RNAcentral describes it as "partial 16S ribosomal RNA". It matches the Rfam family "Bacterial small subunit ribosomal RNA", at positions 524 to 776 of the family's 1533-position model. The record is from RNAcentral.